RNAcentral lists this ribosomal RNA (425 nucleotides) under uncultured bacterium. RNAcentral describes it as "partial 16S ribosomal RNA". It matches the Rfam family "Bacterial small subunit ribosomal RNA", at positions 354 to 796 of the family's 1533-position model. The record is from RNAcentral.
GUGGGGAAUCUUGCGCAAUGGGCGAAAGCCUGACGCAGCCAUGCCGCGUGAAUGAUGAAGGUCUUAGGAUUGUAAAAUUCUUUCACCGGGGACGAUAAUGACGGUACCCGGAGAAGAAGCUCCGGCUAACUUCGUGCCAGCAGCCGCGGUAAUACGAAGGGGGCUAGCGUUGCUCGGAAUUACUGGGCGUAAAGGGCGCGUAGGCGGACAUUUAAGUCAGAGGUGAAAGCCCAGGGCUCAACCUUGGAAUUGCCUUUGAUACUGGAUGUCUUGAGUUCGGGAGAGGUGAGUGGAAUGCCGAGUGUAGAGGUGAAAUUCGUAGAUAUUCGGCGGAACACCAGUGGCGAAGGCGACUCACUGGCCCGAUACUGACGCUGAUGCGCGAAAGCGUGGGGAGCAAACAGGAUUAGAAACCCCGGUAGUCC